UACGUUUCGCGAGCAAUGUUUAGAAACAGUUUCCUGGUUCCGGUUCAUUAUUAUGCAAAUUCUCGCCUGGCUAAACCCGCUAGUCUGAACGCCUGGCAAAGUUAAGCCGGGCUUAACGUUGAGCCGGACUUAACUCAAGCCUGGCUUAUCUCCAAGUCUAAACGUAGCCGGUGGCACGCCAAGCCUAGUUACUAUAGGAACAUAGCCCGGCUUGAGAUAAGCCACCUAGUUCAGACUGGCAGGUGGAUAAACCAGGUGAGUUGAGCCGGGUUUACCCACCUAGUCUGAACUAGGCCUAAAUAGUUUUAAGGAUGUCUUUAUAUUAGCUUUUUGGCUUUUAUUUAUUCUCUUGUGUAAUUUUGUGAUUUCCAAAUUGAUAGGACUAAAUUCAUUUCUUUUUUUAUAGCAAACUAAUAAUUUAUAUUUUAAGGUAGACCUACUUGAUAAUUUGAUGUUUUUUUCAGUUUUUGUUAUUAUAUACUUUAUUUGAAAACAACACCUUUAAGAUCAGUGGUACUCACAACCAUUGCGGUGCGUUCAAAAUGGUAAAAAGCUAGUAAAAUUAUAAUUGAUGCAUACAGGUUAUGCACAGCAUAACAAAAGGUAACAGUCAAUAAAAUUCAAAUUUUAGAAUAACAAGUCGUUUUCACCAUGAAAAUACGUACCACACACCACAAGGAUUGACAAAAAUGCAAAUGAUACUUAGGAUAGGCCCUACUAAUUUACAUACAACGACAUACAAAUUUUAGAUUUUUAAAAUCAUGCUCGUCUUGUGCGGAUCGUACGUAACACGCGAAUUUACUACUGCAAUGAAGAUAAAAUGUUAGUAUGAAUGAACGCUAUUUUAAAUACGGAAAAAUAAGAUUUUGAUGGACAUUUAAAAACUAUUAUUAUUUGGAAGAUUACCGUAGCCUUGUAUUUGGCCUCGUUUUUAGCCAACUAUUUGCUGUAUCAGGACCAGAAAAAGCAGAAAAAAGGGGUAAUAACAAAUUGGUGAACCAUAACCAUUUACUGACUUCUGUUAAACUGGGAUGACACAAUGUUGGGGCAUGGGUCAUGACGCAACCCGACUAGUGGUAAUUGGGAGAAAGUGAUCUGGCCAAAACCGGUGUGGUUCCGACGGCCCUGUGAGUUGUUUUCGUCGUAUGCAGUGAGUGCCGAGCAUUAUCAACAUACUUAUAUCGCCUCCAAAGAUAAAUAACUGAUUUUUUUUUUAUAUCAUUUCUGAA
This is a long non-coding RNA of Anneissia japonica, 1229 nucleotides long. RefSeq lists it as uncharacterized. NCBI's taxonomy places the organism in Eukaryota, Metazoa, Echinodermata, Crinoidea, Comatulida, Comatulidae. The record is from RefSeq and is a predicted model, not a curated record. The transcript has 3 exons.